CUGUACUUUGGAAAUUUAUAUGCAUUAAAUAAGUUAAAAAAAAUGCAAAAACCGAGGAAACAAGAACAAGGAAGACAUCAUGACGCUCCCAAAUGGCCAUAACACUCCAAUACAAGAUUAUGAAGAUGAUGAGACAGAAGAAUAUGGUAUUCCAAACAUUUAUAAUAAGAACACUUAGAAGUUAUCAAAAACAAAUGCAUGAAAUACAGAAAUCUAUAUAGGACACAAAAGUCUCAGAAAAUUCAAAAGAAUUGAAAUCAUACCCUGCAUCUUAUUGGACCACCAUGAAAUGAAGCUGGAAACUAGCAACUCAGGAAUCCCUAAAGCAUUUGCAAACACAUAGAGACUGAACAACAUGCUCCUUAAUGAACAGUGGGUCAUAGAAGAUAUCAAAAUAGAAAUCAAAACCUUUCUGGAAGUAAUUGAGGAUAACAACACAACAUAUCAAAACUUCUGGGAUAUAGCAAAAGCAGUGUUAAGAGGAAAGUUUACAGCAAUAGGUGCCUACAUCAAGAAAUUGGAAAGGCACCAAAUAAUUAAGAGAUCAAUGCAUCUCAAGGAUCUAGAAAAACUGCAGCAAACCAGACCCAAAACUAGUAGGAGAAGAGAAAUAAUUAAAAUCAGAAAAAGAUAUAAACAGAAUUGAAUGCAAAAAAUAGAAAAGAUCAGCAAAACAGAGACCUGGUUUUUUGAAAAAAAUAAACCAAAUUUACAGAACAUUGGCCCAACUAAUUAAAAAAAGAAAAGACCCAAAUCAAUAAAAUCACAGAUGAAAAAGGGAAUGUAACAACAGAAACCACAGAAAUAAAGAGUCAUCAGAAAUUACUACAAAGAGUUGUAUGCCAACAAACAGAGAAAUCUAUCAGAAAUGGAUAGAAUUGAACCAUGGAGACAUAGAAAACCUAAACAGACCCAUAACUGAGACAGAAAUUGAAUCAGUAAUAAAGUCCCUCCCAACAAAGAAAAGCCCAUGACCAGAUGGAUUCACUGCUGAAUUCUACCAGGCAUUUAAAGAAGAACUGACUCCAAUUCUUCUCAAACUAUUCAGAGCAAUUGAAAAAGAGGGAGUCCUCCCAAAUUCUUUCUAUGAAGCCAGCAUCACCUUAAUUCCUAAGCCUGAAAAAGAUGCAGCAUUGAAAGAGAAUUACAGACUAAUAUCCCUGAUGAACAUAGAUGCAAAAAUCCUCAAUAAAAUUCUGGCCAAUAGAAUGCAACAACACAUCAGAAAGAUCAUCCACCCAGACCAAAUGGGAUUUAUCCCUGGUAUGCAGGGAUGGUUCAAUAUUUGCAAAUCAAUCAAUGUGAUACACCACAUUAACAAACUGCAGAAUAAAAACCAUAUGGUUAUCUCAAUAGAUUUAGAAAAAGCAUUCGAUAAAAUACAACACCCUUUCAUGAUGAAAACACUAAGCAAAUUGGGUAUAGAAGGAACAUUCCUCAAUACAAUCAAAACAAUUUGUGAAAAACCCAUGGCCAGCAUCCUGUUGAAUGGGGAAAACUUGGAAGCAUUUCCACUGAGAUCUGGUACCAGACAGGGAUGCCCACUCUCACAACUGCUGCUCAAUAUAGUUAUGGAAGUGUUAGCCAGAGCCAUUAGGCAAGAAAAGAUAUUAAAGGAAUACAAAAUGGGAAGAAAGAAGUCAAAUUAUCCCUAUUUGCAGACGAUAUGAUUCAUUAUUUAGGGGAUCCAAAGAACUCCACCAAGAGACUAUUGGAACUCAUAGAAGAAUUUGGCAAAGUAGCAGGGUAUAAAAUCAAUGCACAAAAAUCAACAGCUUUUGUAUACAAAGGCAAUUCCAUGGCUGAGAAAGAACUUCUAAGAUCAAUCCCUUUCACAAUAGCUACAAAAGAAAUCAAAUACCUUGGAAUAAACUUAACCAAGGACAUUAAAGAUCUCUAUGAGGAGAAUUACAAAAUCUUAUAGAAAGAAAUAGAAGAGGAAAAACCUUCCAUGCUCAUGGAUUCGAAGAAUCAAUAUCAUCAAAAUGUCCAUUCUCCCAAAAGCAAUUUAUGGAUUUAAUGUGCUACCAAUCAAAAUACCAAAAGACCAAAGACCUUCUUCUCAGAUCUGGAAAAAAUGAUGCUGAAAUUCAUAUGGAGGCACAAGAGACCUCGAAUAGCUAAAGCAAUCUUGUACAACAAAAACAAAGCUUGAGGCAUCACAAUACCACAUUUCAGGACAUACUUCAGGGUAUACUUCAGACUUACCCCUAAUGGUAGUUAGAAACAUGCCAGGGGAUUUAAUUAAAUAAAAGUUAAAUAAUAAAUAAAUAAAUAAAAUGGCAAAAAUAGGCAAAAAAGAAUAUAUGUAUAUAUUCAUGUAUUUAAAAUUCCUUUUACAUGUUUAUCCCAUGUGUAGAAGCAAAUGUCUGUUACUAUCAUUUUCUUGUUGCUGAAGAACAAUCUUUCAAACUUCUUGAAGUACAGGUCUGAACAAAAACUAGUGCAUUUUUCAGCUUUUAUUUCUUUGACCAAAAUAUUUUGGUUGAUGAUCAUGAAUGAGACUACUAUAACUCUGCAUUCAGAAUGUUAACUUACAGGAUUUUCUUUUAAUAAUUUUACUGUAUGGUUUUAUAGAUUGUUUUUCACAAGAAGUCUAUUAUCUAUACAUAAUAUGUAAUUUUUCUGCCUCUUUUUAAAAUUUUUAUUUACAGUAGUUCAAAAAUUUGUUUUUCUUUAACAAAGAAAGUUUAAAAUAAUAUUGCAGCACAAUUAAAAUGAAUGAUCAUCAUCAAUAUACCAGCUUAAAUUAUACAUCAUUUACUGAAAAUUAUAUAUUUCUAAAUUGCUGACAGAUGAUUUUAAACACUAAAUGAAUUUUAUCCUCUAAUGUACAUCUAUGAUUUGUCUUUGUAAUGUAAGGAAAAAGAAAGCAGUUACUUCUUCAGCUGUGAAGAAGUGUUCAAUAAAUAAGGCAAACAAAAUCAAUAAUAAAAAAUAAUUACUAAUUUAUCAAAAUAGUUGUUUAUAUUUAAAACAAAAACUGUAGCUAGUGGUACAGCUAGCAGCUGGUAUGAGUAAUGUAAACACUGGGAAAUUAGGUUGUCAGCAUAUCAGCUAUAAUAUAACUAAAAAUAUCAUACUCAGAUUCCCAUUAAAGAUGUUUGAGUUUUUCCUUUGAAAUUUAAUAUCAAGAAAGUAUUUAUCUUGCUUAAGUCACUGAUACCAAUGACUUUUAAUUCUCAUUGUAAGCAGACAAUUCAGAACACACCUUAGUAACAGAUAGAAAGAAACAUAGCAAAGCUAUAAGACUAAUGCAAAAAUAACAAUUAUAUUGUAUUUCUUGAGGCUGCUGUGUUUGGAUUGUAGAAAUAGAGCACACAUCAAUUAGAAGCACUCAGAUAAUUCAUAAUGUUAUAUACACACAUUUAUAUACACAAACAUCUGAUUCUCAAUGAUCAUGAAUGAGACUACUAUAACAAAAUUAUUCUAUCUUCAGAAUUUGUUAGGUUUUAUAGUGAUGACUGAAUACACAAUAAUCUACAAGUAAACUAAGUUUUCCAAUGACAUGGUAUACUAGAGAAAUCACACAACUUCCCAACAGUGAUGGAUCAACUCCCAACCUGGAAUCAUAUUCCCAUACUAAUAUCAAGAUAUAAGAGAUCUGGUCAUCAUCUAUUCAUAGAUUCAGAGCGUCUUGAGGGGAGAAAGGAGAAAAUGAAAGUACCUUCAACAGACUGUGUGGAAUUUGGGACCUCAAGUGUGCUGCAGGCCACUAGCAGAGAGCUGAGUAGGAAGUUGAGCAUCUGGGACAGGAACCAGCACCCAUAUGGGAUGCCUGCAUUGCAGGUGGCAGCUUUACCCUCUAUACCACAUCGGCCCCUGGAUGGCAAAGCUUAAAAUCAGGUAGGUAUAUCUUUCAAUUUCAUUUCUCUUUAUCAUAUUAUUCUCCCAUUUUUAGGUCCUUCACAUUUCCUUCUCAAAUAUUUUAUCAUCUUGUCAAUUUCUGAUAUAAAAAGUCUCACAGAGAUUUUGAUGGAAUCUGGUAUUUGCAAUGUUUGUAUCUUUUUUGUGAAAUAUUAAUAAUUUAUGGAGAAAAUGUCUUUCAAAGGUGGUUAUGCUAGGAAAAUAUAUAUCAUUAGACACUAAUAUGACUGUGAAGAAAUAUUUUGGCCAUUUUUUUAAUCAAUUAGUAAUUUCCUUUAUUAAAAUACAUAGAUCCUACAGUAAUUAUUCUCAAAUAUAAAAAGUACAAUAUUCCCUACCUCCUUUUUGUGUCUAUCUAAAUUUACAUCAUUAAAAUGUUUUCCUCAAUAGAUUACAAGUGAAAAUUAAAAUGUUGGUGCAAAUUAAAAAGACUGCUAUAAUAAGCAAAGCACAGACCCUUCUUAGAUUUCUUAUUAAUCAAUGUGACAUCAACACAUUUUGUAUUAUUAUUUUCAUUAUAAAUAUAAUUAGCACGUUUAUUCUUCUCACAUACACUACUUAAUGAACUUGAUCACACAAUUUUCAAGAGAGAAAAAAUGUAUAGUUCUGUGAUGAAAAGACAAGUUUCCUUUAACACUUUUUCCUUGUAACAGGCUCGAAAGUGCAAUGUAAUUCUUACAAGUGUAUUUAAAUUAUAGCAUACCAAUUUAAUUAAACAUAAAAAAUUAAAACUGACUUCUAGAUUCAAAUAAAUGAACCAUUAUUGAAAGUCACAACAGACCUACCAUCUCUUUUGGUCCACAUUUAUCAAUAUAUAGCUUUAAAUACUAGACAUUUGGUCCUUAAUGGCUGGAAUGACAACAGGAAAUCAGGUAGAGCAGAACCUCAGCGGAUUGAGAAAGGACCUAGAAACAUCUCAGUCUGGCACUGUUCCUACUAAAGGAACUAAUCAAGGCAGACAGGGGUCCCCAGGGAACUGGAAGAAGUCAGUGUUUAGAGUUAUGCUAGCGUGUCUAUGGAUCUCCAGUUGAUCAACCUAGGAGAUUCAAUAAGGUAAUCAUCUCUUGUAUAUGUGGUGUCACUAGACUGACUCAUUUAUCUGGAACUCCAACUACUUUUUGUUAUAACCAUGGCAACUAACAAAUUUCACAGUCCUCAUUUCUUAGCUAAAUCAUCAUAGUAGGUUCCUAAGUACCAUUUACUUGUAUUUCUGAGGUCCAUUUUGUAUUCAUAAACCAUAGAGUGAGUACCUUUAAAUCAAAACAGAAACCCAAAAAAAGAAAUCCACACACCUACAGUCAGCUUAUCUUUGACAAAGUUGCUUUAAAAAAGCUAUAGAAAAAAGAGUAUUCUCUUCAAAAAAUGAUGCUGAUAAAACUGAAUAUCCAUAUACAGAUAUUUGACUAAAGACCCUACCCUCUCAAGGUAUACAGAAAAUCAACUCAAAAUGGAGCAAAUAUUUAGAUGUAAGACUUGAAACUAUGAAACUACAAGAAGAAAACAUAAAGAAAACACUUCAAGGGGUCAGCGCUAUAGCAUAGUGGGUAAAGCCACCACCUGUGGUGCCAGCAUCCCAUAUGGCUACUGCUCCACUUCUGAUUUCAGCUCUUUGCUGAUGGCCUGGGAAAGCAGUGGAAAAUGACCCAAGUGUUUGGGCCCCUGAACCCAUUUGGGAGACCCAGAAGAAGUUCCUAGAUACUAGCUUCAGGUCGGCUCAGCUCUAGCCGUUGUGGCCAUUUGGGGAGCAAACCAGCACAUAGAAGUCCUUUCUCUCUGUCUCUCCCUCUCUCUGUCUGUAACUCUACCUCUUGAAUAAAUAAAUCUUAAAAAAAAACAAACAAAACACUUUGAUGGGGCCGGCGCCAUGGCUCACUUGGUUAAUCCUCCGCCUGCAGCACCAGCAUCCCAUAUGGGCAUCGGUUCCAGUCCCGGUUGCUCCUCAUCCAGUCAAGCUCUGUGCUGUUGCCUGGGAGAGCAAUGGAGGAUGGCUCAAGUGCUUGGGCCCCUGCACCUGCAUGGGAGACCAGAGGGAAGCACCUGGCUGCUGGUUGUGGACAGGUGUAGUUCCGGCCAUAGUGGUCAUUGGGGGAGUGAACCAAUAGAGGGAAGAUCUUUCUCUCUGUCUCUCUCUCUCUCUCACUGUCUAACUCUAUCUGUCAAACAAAUAAAUAAAUAAAUAAAUAAACAAUUUGGGGAUCAGGAAAAAUGGCAGAGUAGGGAACAGCACAGUUCACAAUGCUAGGAAGAAAUAGUGUGGAGAAUAUGGUGUAGGAGGUACACACUUGGCAAAGAAGUGGAGAGAAAACCACCCAGGAAGCCCCAUGGGAGGGGUAGAAAUGGCUUGAACUUGUGUGAACCCACAAUCCAGCUGAGAGAAGGCUGGCACCAUUUUAAAAUAGGACUACGACUAUUGAAGGCUGCAGGCAUGAACAUAACAGCUCACUGAAAUAAGACAGCACUGAGCACAGCACUGACAGCAGUGACGUGCAGAUAUUAGGCCAGGGACUAUAGUGUGCUGUUGUGAUCCAGAGCUAUAAGUACAGGGAAUGGUCCUGUAGCACCAAUGCCUCAGAGCUCAGUGGGAAGAUGGCCAUCAUUAUGAAAGAAUGAGAAGGCAGAAAUACAUAAGAAAUCCAAAGUAAACAAUAGGAAUAUUUAUGGAAAAUGGCAGAGCCAAGUCUUACUUACCAAUAGUCACCUUGAAUGUAAAUGGUUUUAAUUCUAUAGUUAAGAUACAGACUGUCUGAAUGGAUUGAAAAAUAAGACCCAACUAUUAGCUGCUUAUAAGAAAAACAUCUCACCAACAAAGAUGCACACAGACUGAAAACGAUAGUCCCCACUAACAGAAACCAAAAAAAAGAGCUGGCGUUGCCAUCAAAAUAUCAGACAAAAUAGGCCUUAACAUAACAGCUGUUAAAAGAGAUGAAGAAGGUACUAUGUAAUGAUUAAGGGAUCAAUCCAACAGGAAAAUGUAACUAUAAUAAAUAUAUAUGCACCCAAUUACAGGGCACCUGGCUACUUAAAAAAUGUUAAUAAUGUUAAUAGACCUAAAGGGAGAAAUAGACUUCAAUACAGUAGUAAUAGAGGACUUCAAUACCACACUUUCAGCAAUGGACAGAGUAACCAGACAGAAAAUCAACAAGAAACAACAGAGUUAAUCAACUCUAUAGACCAAAAGGACCUAACAGAUAUCUAUAGAACCUUUCACCCAACACUGGCAUAAUACACAUUCUUCUCAUCAGUACAUGGAACGUUCUCUAGCAUAGACCAUAUGCUAGGCCACAAAGCAAUUCUCAGCAAAUUCAAAAAACUGAAAUCAUUCCAUGCAUCUUCUCAGACCACAAUGGAAUAAAGUUAGAAAUCAGCAAGUCAAGAAUCUGUAGAACAUACAUAAACACAUGGAGACUGAGCAACAUGCUCCUGAAUGAAUAGUGGAUCAUAGAAGAAAUGAAAGAUUUCUGAAAAUGAAGAUGACAAUACAUCAUAUCAAAACCUAUGGGAUACACAAAAGCAGUGGUAAGAGGGAAAUUCAGGGCUGGCGCUGUGACAGAACAGGUAAAGCUGUAGCCUGCAGUGCUGGCAUCUCAUAUGGGCAUGGGUUCGAGUCUCGGCUGCUCCACUUUCAAUCCAGCUCUCUGCUAUUGUUGCUGUAGAUUCGUUCUGAGAGGAGUGCUGUGGGGACAAGAGGCGCGGAGUCAUCCCACAGCCACCAGGAGUAGGUGAAAGUGGGCUAGAGGUGAGCAGCCCAUAGACUCGUUUAUUUCAGUUGGUGCAGCAGCUUAUAUAGCAGAGGCAACCAAUCCAAUCAAGGGGCAGUUUAUGCCCUAACCAAUCACAGCCUGUUGCCAGGCAGGCUCUGUUGCUAGGUGGUUUCCCAGGUGGUUUCUGAAGCCAUUCCUGAGUAACUGAUGUUGGCUUGCCAGCAGCCAUCUUGACAUGGCCUUCUCAUUCCAUCACAUGCUAUGGCCUGGUAAAGCAGUAGAAGAUGGCCCAAGACCUUGGGCCCCUGCACCCACAUGGGAAGCCUGGAAGAAGCUCUAGGCUCCUGGCUUCAGAUUGGCGCAGCUCUGAUCAUUGUGGCCAAUUGGGGAGUAAACCAGCAGCUGGAAGACCUCUCUCUCUCUCUGCCUCUCCUUCUCUCUAUGUAACUUUGACUUUCUUUUUUUAUUUUUUUAAUCCUAAGAGUGCAUUAGAUCUUAAAAAAAAAAUUUAAUAUAUGCCAUUCUUUUGGAUAGUUGCUAUUUUCAAGACAUUUUGCUAAAUGGUCUUGAUAUGCAAUUUCAUAUUCACAACAAUGCUGAGGUUGGCAUUGUUAUUGUAUUUCUUUGAUUCUAAAAUACUACUGAUGGCAAGAUAUACUGUCUGUGGGGAGCAGGGCCCUGUGGGGAGCAGGGCCCGUCUCCCGCAACAUGGUGAAAUAAGUACUGAGACUAUCAAGACUAGACUAGACUAUUGAGACUAACUCUAUGUGCCUGAUCUCCCACCAUAUGGCGCUGAGAGGGAGUAAACAAAUCUUACACAGCUGCUUCGUCAAUUAGCUGAUUCCUGAUCCAACCUCUGAUUGGAGGAGAACAGCGUGCUCAGCAUGUGGGCAGCAGAGCACGGAUUGGUGAGAGAGGACUAUAAAGGUGAGAUAGAAGCGGCGCGGGGGAAUUCGCUUAUGCGCCACGAGGCGCCGCAGACAUCUCACACCAUGUGCCGAAAGAAUAACAAGAAUGCGAACACACACCAAGUAGAAUGUGGUUAGAAUGCUGUUAGCACAGGAGCAAACUUGAGCGCACAACGCAGAGUCAUUUGCUUAAAUAACAGCGUCCGGUCCGGUGACGCUCCUCCACCCGCGGAGGAGUGACACUGUCAAUAAAAAUUCAGCAUUUUAGGUAAAAAAAGCACAAGAAAACCCCAUCACAUUAAAUGUAGGUGUGACAGGCAAUAGUGAUGCUAAUUGCAGCAAAGUUAAAAUAUGGGGGGCAGGUGGAUGGAAAAUACCUCUUAAAAUCAAGGAAAUACUAUAUCUCCAUUUUUCAGAUGAGAAAACCAAAGCAUAAGGAAUUUAAAUAUUUUCCAGUCUGUAGAAAAAGCUAGGG
Molecule: non-coding RNA, 8951 nt
Organism: Oryctolagus cuniculus (rabbit)
Lineage: Eukaryota; Metazoa; Chordata; Mammalia; Lagomorpha; Leporidae
Source: RefSeq, a predicted model, not a curated record